Molecule: small RNA, 47 nt
Filed under: Arabidopsis thaliana (thale cress)
Lineage: Eukaryota; Viridiplantae; Streptophyta; Magnoliopsida; Brassicales; Brassicaceae
Description: ATSL053390
Source: RNAcentral
AGCGGUUGCUGCAGAGGACCGCGAAGAACAGAGACUAACGACGAAGU